Molecule: ribosomal RNA, 184 nt
Filed under: uncultured bacterium
Lineage: Bacteria
Description: partial 16S ribosomal RNA
Rfam family: Bacterial small subunit ribosomal RNA
Source: RNAcentral
CUGCGUGAAGUUGGAAUCGCUAGUAAUCGCGGAUCAGCAUGCCGCGGUGAAUACGUUCCCGGGCCUUGUACACACCGCCCGUCACACCAUGAGAGUCGGGAACACCCGAAGUCCGUAGCCUAACCGGAAGGGGGCGCGGCCGAAGGUGGGUUCGAUAAUUGGGGUGAAGUCGUAACAAGGUAUC